This 77-nucleotide transfer RNA is filed under the name Myxococcales bacterium. Its description in RNAcentral is "tRNA-Asp". It matches the Rfam family "tRNA". Rfam says of the family: Transfer RNA (tRNA) molecules are approximately 80 nucleotides in length. Their secondary structure includes four short double-helical elements and three loops (D, anti-codon, and T loops). Lineage: Bacteria; Pseudomonadati; Myxococcota; Myxococcia; Myxococcales. RNAcentral also lists the same sequence under 1 other name. The record is from RNAcentral.
GGGGCGGUAGUUCAAUCGGUUAGAGCACUGGCCUGUCACGCCAGAAGUUGCGGGUUCGAGUCCCGUCCGCCCCGCCA